Molecule: long non-coding RNA, 3812 nt
Filed under: Mus musculus (house mouse)
Lineage: Eukaryota; Metazoa; Chordata; Mammalia; Rodentia; Muridae
Description: long non-coding RNA chr10:60079612-60083424
Source: RNAcentral
GGACAGACAGAACAGCAGGUUCCAGGCUCAGUGAGAACAGGCUUACAAAAUAAAGCAGAGAGACUGGAGAGGUGGCUCAGCGGUUAAGAGCACUGACUGCUUUUCCAAAGGUCCUGAGUUCAAUUCCCAGCACCCACAUGGUGGCUCACAACCAUCUGUAAUGGGAUCUCAUGCCCUCUUCUGGUGUGUCUGGAGACAGUGUACUCAUAUGCAUAAAAUAAAUAAAUAAGUCAAGAAAAAAAGCAGGAAGUAAUAAAGAGAUAGAUACCUAGUGUUGACAUCUGGACUCCAUAUGAGUGUGCCCUGCAAGCCUAAGUGCAUACCCAGCACACACACACACACACACACACACACACACACGGCUCCUGACUGAAGGAAAGCGCUGUGGGUAGGCACCCUUGUGGUACUUGUGUGUGAUUAUUGCUCUAAGAGUUAGGGAAUUGGCAUAAGAACAAGUGAAGUCUGUAGUGCUGUGAAGUGGUGAUUGCUCUGAAAAGGACAAAUUUCCAUCCAUGAAAUCAUUUUAGAGUCACGGCAGAGCAUUAUUGUCAAAAAUUAAAAGCUAGGGAGAAAGCUGUCUGGCUAGAAAUCCAGCAGAAUUUCAAUGACUGUUUUUUAGAUUGUUAUGGCUUUCAACUCUCAAGGCAUGCUUGGGCAUGAUAAUGCUUUCUCCUCCAAAAAGCCUUUUGCUUGUUUGAGUCUGGCCACGCCUUCACAGAGGGAAGGUGGCUGGCUGAGCAGGACCAUGGGGACAUAAGUGGGUGUCACAAUGUGUACAGCUCUGGUGACAGUACUGAAGGUGUGUGUCCUGUAGCUCUGGCUGAGGGUGCAGUCUUGUCUAAUGAGGUGACAAUAACGGAGUUGAUAGCAUGUGGCAGUCCGCCUUCUAGCUUGCAAGAGUUGUUCCUAGCUCAGCUAUUAUUUGGACAGCUAUUGUUUGUGCAUAUGUAGACACCCUGUUGCCUGAGGACAUCUGAUCUGCUCUCACUUUUGAAUCCCAUCCCCAUGUGCUUCUCCCCUCCCCACUGGCCUCCCCAUCCCCCAUGCCCUUUUUCUCCACUUGUUACUUUGACACAGCCAACAGUCAGGGCUUGGAUGCCCAACCUCGAUAAAGCCCCAGAGUUGCUUAGGUCUUCCUGUGAGACAAGAUGUAGGGCUUUGCUUCUGCUGACCCGUACUUCCUCCCUGUGAACCUUCUCCUGGCCGUUGAGUACUGUUAUGAGCACUGUCUGCGGGAAGGUGACCAGACAGGAAAUAGAAAGGAGAGUGGUCGCAAAGCUUAAUGAGCACUGGUUCUUCCCAUGGCAGCUCUUUGCAGAAACAUCCCUGGGUCAGCUCUGAGACAGCAGCUACCCUCAGAGCUGCAUUACAGGCUUAGGGGCCGAGGAGGCUCUCAGCCAAGCAGCCGCCAGACAGUUUACUGUGGUAAAACAGUAAUAGCCAUGCCUCGAGGUAGGAUUUUCUGGGGAAGAAACUUGGCAACAGAUCGAGCUGCCAUCGGCCCGUCUCAGAUGCCAGCUCUCGAAUGGUACCAUGUGCGGCCUGCAUGGAGGUCAGGCACAAGCUUUCCAGCCCUGUCAGCACAACCUCCUGGCUCCACCACCUCCGCCCCCUGCUCCGUGUUUUUUUCUUGCUAGUUUUCAAAAUGGAAAGGCUCUGCAGGGAGGGGAAGUCCCUUAGCAUUUUGCAUAUUGAGGUGCUCAGCAGAACUGCCUGGCAUCCUGUUUGUAUAUAUCGGUUUUAAUUCACUCUCUAAUAGGUCAUUUGGUCUUAACAGCAGUCUUAAACUUGAUAAUACUUGCAUCAGCAGCGAGUUGUGGGCCAGCCGUCCAAAAGUGCAACCCCAAGUGAUUACUUGCAGAAGGUUUUAUAGCCUCCCUAGGAGAGGCCACGCUGUAAGCAGACCUUGCACACUCCAGCAGAGACUUGCAGGUGGCUGGGGAGGAAGUCCCUUUCCUCUUAGUGCAAGGAAAGCCAUCCUUGUCAGAAGGGACUCCAGCUCUGUCCGAUGGCGUCAAGGACUUCAGUAUUGUGAGUGGAAGAACCAGAAGUAGGAGUGCCCUGUUGACAGGGUGAGGAGCUGUAGCUGGCCCUGAUGUGCGUGCGCGCGCGCACACACACACACACACACACACACACACACACAGCCUGAGGAGCUGUAGCUAGCCCUGAUGUGCACACACACACACACACACACACACACACAGAGCCUGAGGAGCUGUAGCUGGCCCUGAUGUGCACACACACACACACACAGAGCCUGAGGAGCUGUAGCUAGCCCUGAUGUGCACACACACACACACACACACACACACACACACACACACACACACACAGAGCCUGAGGAGCUGUAGCUGGCCCUGAUGUGCACACACAGCCUUUCACACUUUCCUUAUGGAGGCUGCUGCUGAUAGCACUCAAUCCUCCCACACACUGUCCUUGGCCGUGCUCCUUGGCUCUCAGUGAGAACACCGUGUCCUCUUUUUAUCGGCUAUUAUUGGCUAUUGUUAUUGACUCUCUCACCAUGAUCACUGCAGUCUGAGGUUUCAGACUAAAAGUAGCCUGGCUGCCGGAGUUAGGGCUGAACUUGAAGAUGACUCCAAGAUAGCAAAUCCUUGCCAAAAACAAUGCCUUUUAUUCUGAAGUGGAUGUUGCUAUCCCAGUCUUUAGAAGCAUUGCGGCUCCAUGAGGCCAGAUUGUGGCUGUAAAGAUUUCUAGUGAACCUUCUCUUUUUAUCCUUUCAAGGAAAGUAGAGUUUGUCUGUCUGUCUGUCUUUUUCUGGAAUGGUCCAUUAGAUUGUUGGCAGGGAGUAACUAAUAAUCAGAGUGUUCUGUAGUUUGGCUCUGGAAUGUCCCCCGGAUUCCUGUAUCUUAAAGCCUUGAUCCUCUAGCUGUGGUGGUGCUGUGAGGAUAGAGAGCUUUAGAUAGAGGGCGUGUGGGUCAUUGGGAUGCACCCUUAGAGAGGAUUUUGUGAUUCUGUAUCCUUCAUGGCUCUCUCUCUCUCUCACUUCCUGGAUGCUAUGAAAUCAAACUUCCCUUUGCUACACAAUCACGUGUGGCGUACUGUGCUGCCACCGCUAUGCUGCCACCGCUGUGCUGCCACUGCUCAGCACUGAGGCCACAGAAUGGAGGACUGAAAUCUCCAAAACCACGAGCCACAUAAGCCUUUCAGCCUCUUAAAUUGGUUGGUAUCACAGCAAUGGAAAACUGAGGAACACAGUACUCGGAGUUGUAACUUAGCAUUCUUUCCUGUGGUAAAUAUAGGGUGUCUUCAUAAAAUAUCCUGUCCAAAGGUGGCAAAGUUGUAGCAGAGAGUAGCUCUGGAUACUGGGGGGAAACAUGUCAGCCUUGGCUAUCUGAGAAACUUCUAGGUCCUUUUCAGAGGACUUUCCUCCAUGCUAGGCAUGUCCCUUGGCCUCCAACAUCCAGGGAGUGUCUCUGUCUGUGAGCUCCACCCUCAAGACAUUUGCAUUUUCCCUGUUUUGUGUGUAGGAAUAUGGCUUGCCCUGGUAUAAGCAGGCACAGCCUCUGUGGGUAUUUUUAAACAGAUGGAGGCUUUUGCUCCUGGACAUGCCUGCUUCCCACCUUGUCUUUCCGUUCCUCCAGUGCUUGCUCUCAUAGAAGAAUCCUUGUGGGGGCUGGAGAGAUGGCUCAGUGGGUAAGAGCAUUGACUGCUCUUCCAAAGGUCCUGAGUUCAAAUCCUAGCAACCACAUAGUGGCUUACAACCACCCAUAAGGAGACCUGACGCCCUCUUCUGGCACGCCUGAAGACAGCUACAGUGUAUUUAAUGUAUAAUAAUAAAUAAAUUCUUU